RNAcentral lists this microRNA (22 nucleotides) under Rattus norvegicus (Norway rat). RNAcentral's name for it is "rno-miR-6330". The record is from miRBase by way of RNAcentral. Lineage: Eukaryota; Metazoa; Chordata; Mammalia; Rodentia; Muridae.
UAUAAUGACCAGAUCUGGGUCA